CCUACGGGUGGCAGCAGUGAGGAAUAUUGGUCAAUGGGCGCGAGCCUGAACCAGCCAAGUAGCGUGAAGGAUGACUGCCCUACGGGUUGUAAACUUCUUUUAUAAAGGAAUAAAGUGAGGCACGUGUGCCUUUUUGUAUGUAUUUUAUGAAUAAGGAUCGGCUAACUCCGUGCCAGCAGCCGCGGUAAUACGGAGGAUCCGAGCGUUAUCCGGAUUUAUUGGGUUUAAAGGGAGCGUAGAUGGGUUGUUAAGUCAGUUGUGAAAGUUUGCGGCUAAACCGUAAAAUUGAAAUUGAUACUGGCAGCCUUGAGUACAGUGGAGGUAGGAGAAAUUCGUGGGGGAGCG
RNAcentral lists this ribosomal RNA (345 nucleotides) under uncultured bacterium. RNAcentral's name for it is "partial 16S ribosomal RNA". It matches the Rfam family "Bacterial small subunit ribosomal RNA", at positions 338 to 680 of the family's 1533-position model. The record is from RNAcentral.